Molecule: ribosomal RNA, 2781 nt
Filed under: Gammaproteobacteria bacterium
Lineage: Bacteria; Pseudomonadati; Pseudomonadota; Gammaproteobacteria
Description: partial 23S ribosomal RNA
Rfam family: Bacterial large subunit ribosomal RNA
Source: RNAcentral
GCCAGGAGGUUGGCUUAGAAGCAGCCAUCCUUUAAAGAAAGCGUAACAGCUCACUGGUCAAGUCGGCCCGCGCGGAAGAUUCAACGGGGCUCAAGCUAUGCACCGAAGCUGCGGACGUGCACUUUCUUCGGAUUGUGCACGUGGUAGAGGAGCGUUCUGUACGCCUGCGAAGGUGUGUCGCGAGACAUGCUGGAGGUAUCAGAAGCGCGAAUGCUGACAUGAGUAACGAUAAUGCGGGUGAAAAACCCGCACGCCGUAAACCCAAGGGUUCCUGCGCUACGUUAAUCGGCGCAGGGUUAGUCGGCCCCUAAGGCGAGACCGAGAGGUGUAGUCGAUGGGAAGCAGGUCAAUAUUCCUGCACCGCUUGUUACUGCGAUGAGGGGACGGAGGAGGCUAGGCUAGCCGGGCGUUGGUUGUCCCGGUUUAAGCGUGUAGGGAGUGUUCUUAGGCAAAUCCGGGAGCACAAUUCCGAGACGUGACGACGAGUCCCUUUUUAGGGGCGAAGUAGCCGAUGCCAAGCUCCCAGGAAAAACCUCUAAGCUUCAGGUAACGAGGACCGUACCGUAAACCGACUCUGGUGGGUGAGGAGAAAAUCCUAAGGCGCUUGAGAGAACUCGGAUGAAGGAACUCUGCAAAAUUGUGCCGUAACUUCGGGAGAAGGCACGCCCUUAAUGGUGAAGGACUUCGCGUCCGGAGCUGAUGAGGGUCUCAGAAAAUCGGUGGCUGCGACUGUUUACUAAAAACACAGCACUCUGCGAACACGUAAGUGGAAGUAUAGGGUGUGACGCCUGCCCGGUGCCGGAAGGUUAAUUGAUGGGGUUAGCCGCAAGGCGAAGCUCCUGAUCGAAGCCCCGGUAAACGGCGGCCGUAACUAUAACGGUCCUAAGGUUAAAGAUGAUUCGCUAGCCUUAGUAAAACCGAGCUAUAUGCGGGAAACUCCUCAAAAACUCUUCGGUACUCGCCGGUUCUCGCCGGCAGUAAAAAUCCAAGAGGCAUGGGGACAAUCCGCAGGGAAGGCCUGGUUGUGCCAGGAACCCUCAGAGACUUUACGCUCGGGAGCUCCCAAUGAAUCUCGAUGCUCAAUGGAUCACAGGCUUCGUGGAUGGUGAAGGUUGCUUUCACGUCGGCAUCAACGCCAACGCGGAAAUGACCGUCGGUUUUCAAGUGUUACCGGAAUUCACCGUCGUGCAACACGAACGCGAUGUUCAGGUGCUUCAUGCCCUGAAGGCUUAUUUCGGUUGCGGGGUGGUUCGAGUGAAUCACGGCGAUCGAAUGGCGUUCAGAGUCCGUAGCAAGGAGCACUUGCUCAAGAACAUCGUUCCAUUCUUCAUCGAGCAUCCGCUGAAAACGAAGAAGAACGUCGACUUUCAAAAAUUUCGACAGGUUCUUUUGAUGAUGGAAGCGGAUAGGCAUUUGACACGUGAUGGAAUUGAAGAGAUUCGAUCCAUUGCUGCGCAAAUGAAUAGAGGGAAGCUCAAGAUAAAGUCCGACUGUUCUGGAAACAGAAGAGAGUAAUCGAGCGAAAUUCCUUGUCGGGUAAGUAACAUUGCCCCGGCCGAAAGCGAUUUUGGCCAGUACACCGGCUCAAAUCGGUGAAACCCAAGUAGUGCUAUGCAGGGCACUGCGGGCGAUACCGAGGGUAAGACCACAUUGAUUGUGGUCCCCGUAACGACUCAGGAUUGAGAACCCUGGAUGGAACACCCGUUCCAUAACACGCCGGCCCUGAUCUUUGAGUUCGUGAGUGUUCUCAGCUCACGGCGAUCAGGUGAAGGUAUAGUCUACGCCCCGCGGAAACGUGGGGGUUUAACGUGAAGUUCCGACCUGCACGAAUGGCGUAACGAUGGCCACACUGUCUCCAUCCGAGACUCAGUGAAGUUGAAAUCGCUGUGAAGAUGCAGUGUACCCGCGGCAAGACGGAAAGACCCCGUGAACCUUUACUAUAACUUUGCACUGAAUUUUGAAUUUGUCUGUGUAGGAUAGGUGGGAGGCUUUGAAGCGGCGACGCUAGUCGUCGUGGAGCCACCGUUGAAAUACCACCCUGAUAAAUUCGGAGUUCUAACCUUGGCCCGUCAUCCGGGUUGGGGACAGUGCAUGGCGGGUAGUUUGACUGGGGCGGUCUCCUCCCAAAGAGUAACGGAGGAGCACAAAGGUACCCUCAGCGCGGUCGGACAUCGCGCAGUGAGUGCAUAGGCACAAGGGUGCUUGACUGCGAGACAGACAAGUCGAGCAGGGACGAAAGUCGGUCUAAGUGAUCCGGUGGUUCUGUAUGGAAGGGCCAUCGCUCAACGGAUAAAAGGUACUCCGGGGAUAACAGGCUUAUUCCUCCCAAGAGUCCACAUCGACGGAGGAGUUUGGCACCUCGAUGUCGGCUCAUCACAUCCUGGGGCUGUAGCAGGUCCCAAGGGUUCGGCUGUUCGCCGAUUAAAGUGGUACGCGAGCUGGGUUUAGAACGUCGUGAGACAGUUCGGUCCCUAUCUGCCGUGGGCGUUGGAAAUUUGAGGGGAGCUGCUCCUAGUACGAGAGGACCGGAGUGGACGUACCUCUGGUGUUCCGGUUGUCACGCCAGUGGCACCGCCGGGUAGCUAUGUACGGAAGGGAUAACCGCUGAAAGCAUCUAAGCGGGAAGCCCACCCCAAGAUUAGAUUUCCCUGGGGACUCGAUCCCCCUGAAGGGCCCUCGUAGACUACGAGGUUGAUAGGCUGGGUGUGGAAGUCGAGUAAUCGAUGAAGCUAACCAGUACUAAUUGCCCGUGAGGCUUGACCAUAUAACACCCAAACGGUU